CAGUCGCCGCGGGAAUACGGAGGGUGCAAGCGUUAAUCGGAAUUACUGGGCGUAAAGCGCACGCAGGCGGUCUGUCAAGUCGGAUGUGAAAUCCCCGGGCUCAACCUGGGAACUGCAUUCGAAACUGGCAGGCUAGAGUCUUGUAGAGGGGGGUAGAAUUCCAGGUGUAGCGGUGAAAUGCGUAGAGAUCUGGAGGAAUACCGGUGGCGAAGGCGGCCCCCUGGACAAAGACUGACGCUCAGGUGCGAAAGCGUGGGGAGCAAACAGGAUUAGAUACCCGUGUAGUCCCUGUCUCUUAUAC
RNAcentral lists this ribosomal RNA (301 nucleotides) under uncultured bacterium. Its description in RNAcentral is "partial 16S ribosomal RNA". It matches the Rfam family "Bacterial small subunit ribosomal RNA", at positions 509 to 807 of the family's 1533-position model. The record is from RNAcentral.